RNAcentral lists this ribosomal RNA (249 nucleotides) under uncultured prokaryote. RNAcentral's name for it is "partial 16S ribosomal RNA". It matches the Rfam family "Bacterial small subunit ribosomal RNA", at positions 524 to 772 of the family's 1533-position model. The record is from RNAcentral.
UACGGAGGAUGCAAGCGUUAUCCGGAUUUAUUGGGUUUAAAGGGUGCGCAGGUUGUUUGAUAAGUCAGUGGUGAAAGUCUGUCGCUUAACGGUAGGAUUGCCAUUGAUACUGUUAGACUUGAACAUGGAUGAGGUAGGCGGAAUGUGUAGUGUAGCGGUGAGAUGCAUAGAUAUUACACAGAACACCGAUUGCGAAGGCAGCUUACUAAUCCAUCAUUGACGCUGAGGCACGAAAGCGUGGGGAUCAAA